AGUGAACGCUGGCGGUAGGCCUAACACAUGCAAGUCGAACGGCAGCACAGUAAGAGCUUGCUCUUACGGGUGGCGAGUGGCGGACGGGUGAGGAAUACAUCGGAAUCUACUUUUUCGUGGGGGAUAACGUAGGGAAACUUACGCUAAUACCGCAUACGACCUACGGGUGAAAGCAGGGGAUCUUCGGACCUUGCGCGAUUGAAGGAGCCGAUGUCGGAUUAGCUAGUUGGCGGGGUAAAGGCCCACCAAGGCGACGAUCCGUAGCUGGUCUGAGAGGAUGAUCAGCCACACUGGAACUGAGACACGGUCCAGACUCCUACGGGAGGCAGCAGUGGGGAAUAUUGGACAAUGGGCGCAAGCCUGAUCCAGCCAUACCGCGUGGGUGAAGAAGGCCUUCGGGUUGUAAAGCCCUUUUGUUGGGAAAGAAAAGCAGCAGGUUAAUACCCCGCUGUUCUGACGUUACCCAAAGAAUAAGCACCGGCUAACUUCGUG
Molecule: ribosomal RNA, 492 nt
Filed under: uncultured bacterium
Lineage: Bacteria
Description: partial 16S ribosomal RNA
Rfam family: Bacterial small subunit ribosomal RNA
Source: RNAcentral